Molecule: long non-coding RNA, 646 nt
Filed under: Homo sapiens (human)
Lineage: Eukaryota; Metazoa; Chordata; Mammalia; Primates; Hominidae
Description: non-protein coding lnc-ILK-9:1
Source: RNAcentral
AUAGUGGAUCUGCGGGUUAGAGGAAAUAGGCUGCAGGGCGGAGACCGAGCCUUGGCGAACUGCGCUGCCGUAGCCAUUCCGCCCUAGCCUCUGCCGUGCUCCGCGGCGAUUCCGUCCAGACCGGAACCAGCGUGCGUCUGGCUCUCCUCCGCCGCUCUGGGACACCUCAUUCUGUCUGACGCUCAAGACCUGGCUUCGACGUUUAUGGCCCUAUGUCCCUCGACUACGGGUUGCCUGCCUGUCUGCAUCGUUUCAAGUUCCCUUAUUCAGCCUUUUAAGGAUUCAUAGUGGAUUUGGAAAGCCCCCUCUCUUCUCCGCCAGCUGCCCCGAGAGGUGGGGGCAGCAGUGGGGCGGCACACAGUGCUGCUGUAGGAGGAGGAGGAGUUUCAGCCUGAGUCAACAACAUAUGCAAAAAUCACAACGAAUGAGAGGCGUGAGGUUUUCGGUGUAGCAGACAUUUAAUUCUUAUUUGCCAACUCCUGAGCUAGGACCUGGGAACACAAAGUUAAAUAGGACACGAUUCUAGUCCUCUAGGCACCAACGGUCUUGGAAAGGAAGGCAGACAAGUAAACUGGCCAUUUCAAUACUACGUGGUCGUUACAAUGCUAGAGGGGACAAUGAGUAAACUGAGAAGAGCAAAAAUCUA